AGAGACAGCAGCCGCCGCGGGAACACGUAUGUCACGAGCGUUAUCCGGAUUUAUUGGGCGUAAAGCGCGUCUAGGUGGUUAUGUAAGUCUGAUGUGAAAAUGCAGGGCUCAACUCUGUAUUGCGUUGGAAACUGUAUAACUAGAGUACUGGAGAGGUAAGCGGAACUACAAGUGUAGAGGUGAAAUUCGUAGAUAUUUGUAGGAAUGCCGAUGGGGAAGCCAGCUUACUGGACAGAUACUGACGCUGAAGCGCGAAAGCGUGGGUAGCAAACAGGAUUAGAUACCCCUGUAGUCCCUGUCUCUUAUACA
This 309-nucleotide ribosomal RNA is filed under the name uncultured bacterium. RNAcentral describes it as "partial 16S ribosomal RNA". It matches the Rfam family "Bacterial small subunit ribosomal RNA", at positions 504 to 808 of the family's 1533-position model. The record is from RNAcentral.